GACUCUCGGCAACGGAUAUCUCGGCUCUCGCAUCGAUGAAGAACGUAGCGAAAUGCGAUACUUGGUGUGAAUUGCAGAAUCCCGUGAACCAUCGAGUCUUUGAACGUAAGUUGCGCCCCAAGCCUUCUGGCCGAGGGCACGUCUGCAUGGGUGUCA
Molecule: ribosomal RNA, 156 nt
Filed under: Brassica napus (rape)
Lineage: Eukaryota; Viridiplantae; Streptophyta; Magnoliopsida; Brassicales; Brassicaceae
Description: rRNA 5_8S_rRNA
Rfam family: 5.8S ribosomal RNA
About the family: 5.8S ribosomal RNA (5.8S rRNA) is a component of the large subunit of the eukaryotic ribosome.
Source: RNAcentral